CGUCGCCGCGGUAAUACGUAGGGUGCAAGCGUUAAUCGGAAUUACUGGGCGUAAAGCGUGCGCAGGCGGUUAUAUAAGUCAGAUGUGAAAUCCCCGGGCUCAACCUGGGAACUGCAUUUGAGACUGUAUGGCUAGAGUGUGUCAGAGGGGGGUAGAAUUCCACGUGUAGCAGUGAAAUGCGUAGAUAUGUGGAGGAAUACCGAUGGCGAAGGCAGCCCCCUGGGAUAACACUGACGCUCAUGCACGAAAGCGUGGGGAGCAAACAGGAUUAGAUACCCCGGUAGUCCCUGUCUCUUAUACA
RNAcentral lists this ribosomal RNA (301 nucleotides) under uncultured bacterium. RNAcentral's name for it is "partial 16S ribosomal RNA". It matches the Rfam family "Bacterial small subunit ribosomal RNA", at positions 510 to 808 of the family's 1533-position model. The record is from RNAcentral.